Andrographis paniculata is the source of this 1522-nucleotide RNA transcript. RefSeq lists it as uncharacterized. The record is from RefSeq and is a predicted model, not a curated record. The transcript is spliced from 9 exons. NCBI's taxonomy places the organism in Eukaryota, Viridiplantae, Streptophyta, Magnoliopsida, Lamiales, Acanthaceae.
GGUUGGAAAAGAUACAGAAUGUAAAAGCGUGGUUUACGAUAUUACAGUUUAGGAUAAGAUACUUUUCGGCAGGUAUCCCUUUUUGGCCUGUUCCAUGGCGACGGCUUUCUCUGCCGUAUGGCUACCGCCGGCGCACAGUAGUUUCAUCGCAGUGAAAGCGCCAAAGCUGCUUCCUCCAAUUUCACGGGGGAAAAAGCCGCUUCUUCGACGCAGACAAAGUGAAUCACCAUUUUCACCGCUUUGUUCGCGCAACCGCGCCGCUGAGGCUACGAGGGAAGAUGAAGAGCAGAGCGAUGAGAUGUCGAUAAGCAUUGAUGUUCUUAAACGCUUUAUCGGUCUUAAUUUGGGUAACUGGACUGGCUCGUUUCAUCAAUUUGAUGGCAACGGGAAUUUGCUGCAUAAGAUAAGCACAAAGCUUGCUGCCAGCUCGUAUGGGGAAGAAGAACUCAUGAGUUUGAUUCAAUCGUUAUACAUAAAACAACCUCCAUUUAGUGGUUUUGGGACCCCAGAUGAACCGGAAUGGUUUGAAUACAAGAUUAAAGAAUCCAACAUGUUCACAGUGGAUAAAUAUCAGCAGAUUGGAUUUUUCCCCGAGGAGAAGGCGUUCGCAUUGAGAUAUCAGACAGCUGGCAUGUUGGAGAUGGUUAUAAGACAAGGUGUGCUGGGUGAAGAUGAUACUGGAGAGGAAUCUCCCAGAAAUUUAAAGCUUCCUUCUCGACGACCUGCCAUUGUUUGUGAGAACUGCCUUUAUUCACUCGUGAGGGAUGCAAGAAUCAGAGCUUUUCAUAUCUUGGACCCGAAAGGCAUACUAGAAAUGCUACUUGUAUUCCUGGAAGAAAGAGAUAGCACUGUGAUUAAUCAUCCUUCCUUCGGCAAUUUUAAGGAUUCAGAUAGGCUCACUCCUCAUUUGGGGACAUGGAAGGGCCACUCUACGACGAAACGCAGUGGUGUUUAUGGAGCUACAAUAGCCGAAGCUGAUACAAUUGCUACCCUCGAAAUGACACAGGAUGGUCAGCUCAUCCAGGACAUAAAAUCUAAAUCAGAUGGCAAGGAAACAGCAACUGUCAACUGGACAGGAUCAUUGUCAAACAACCUGAUAACAUUCGAUGGAGGUUUUCAGGUGACAUUGUUGCCUGGAGGCAUGUACAUGGGAUGCCCGACCGAUGUGGCGAAGAGUGUGCAGGAAUUAAAGUCUUUCCACCUCGAACUCUGUUGGGCCGAAUCGCCAUCCAAGCGACAGAGGCUCGUUCGCACCUUCGACGCCGAAGGGCUUGCGGUUUCGUCGACAUAUUUUCUUGAAACAAAGGAAUGAUCACACUCUAUGCUCUUCGAUCGAAUUUUAAUGUCUUUGGAUAAGAUAUCUACUAUGCACACAUGAUAACAAGAAUGCGGAGCAAUCAACGCCAUUGACGGCCACCGAGCUUGUUUGACAUGAGGUUAUCCUGGGCCCACAGGUGUCUCCUUUUCUGAGUGCCACGUGGUGCUUACUCAAUCUAUCUAUGCAGACAGCGAGGCGGGAUUU